CGGUGGAGCAUGUGGUUUAAUUCGAAGCAACGCGAAGAACCUUACCAGGUCUUGACAUCCGAUGCUAUUCUAGAGAUAGAAAGUUACUUCGGUACAUCGGUGACAGGUGGUGCAUGGUUGUCGUCAGCUCGUGUCGUGAGAUGUUGGGUUAAGUCCCGCAACGAGCGCAACCCUUGUCUUUAAUUGCCAUCAUUCAGUUGGGCACUUUAAAGAGACUGCCGGUGUUAAACCGGAGGAAGGUGGGGAUGACGUCAAGUCCUCAUGGCCUUUAUGCCCAGGGCUACACACGUGCUACAAUGGGUGGUACAAAGAGAUGCAAUCUCGCAAGAGCAAGCAAACCUCAAAAAGCCAUCCUCAGUUCGGAUUGGAGUCUGCAACUCGACUCCAUGAAGUCGGAAUCGCUAGUAAUCGCGGAUCAGCACGCCGCGGUGAAUACGUUCCCGGGCCUU
RNAcentral lists this ribosomal RNA (449 nucleotides) under uncultured Syntrophus sp. RNAcentral's name for it is "bacterial SSU rRNA". It matches the Rfam family "Bacterial small subunit ribosomal RNA", at positions 930 to 1382 of the family's 1533-position model. The record is from RNAcentral. Lineage: Bacteria; Pseudomonadati; Thermodesulfobacteriota; Syntrophia; Syntrophales; Syntrophaceae.